AUCGAGCCAGUGAGAGAGAUGGGAGUGAUGGAUAAGCUGAAGGUGUUCGCUGUCCAGGAGCCCGUCGUCGUCGCCUCCUGUCUCAUCGCCGGAUUCGGCCUUUUUCUUCCGGCUGUUGUCAGGCCUAUUCUGGAUUCCUUUGAGACAGCCAAACAAGUUCCACCGCCAGCUCUAACUGAUGUGGUGGCUGGAGUGACAGGCCAAAAGCGUGA
This 212-nucleotide unclassified non-coding RNA is filed under the name Hevea brasiliensis (rubber tree). Lineage: Eukaryota; Viridiplantae; Streptophyta; Magnoliopsida; Malpighiales; Euphorbiaceae. The record is from RNAcentral.